GUCCACGCCCUAAACGGUGGGUACUAGGUGUAGGGCUCGUAAGGGUUCUGUGCCGAAGGGAAACCAUUAAGUACCCCGCCUGGGGAGUACGGCCGCAAGGUUGAAACUCAAAGGAAUUGACGGGGGCCCGCACAAGCGGUGGAGCAUGUGGUUUAAUUCGACGCAACGCGAAGAACCUUACCUGGGCUUGACAUGUAAGUGGUAAGGACCCGAAAGUGCGAUGAUUCGUAGCAAUACUGAAGCUUACACAGGUGCUGCAUGGCUGUCGU
RNAcentral lists this ribosomal RNA (269 nucleotides) under uncultured bacterium. RNAcentral's name for it is "partial 16S ribosomal RNA". It matches the Rfam family "Bacterial small subunit ribosomal RNA", at positions 793 to 1055 of the family's 1533-position model. The record is from RNAcentral.